GAUGAACGCUGGCGGCGUGCCUAAUACAUGCAAGUCGAGCGAACGGACGAGAAGCUUGCUUCUCUGAUGUUAGCGGCGGACGGGUGAGUAACACGUGGAUAACCUACCUAUAAGACUGGGAUAACUUCGGGAAACCGGAGCUACUACCGGAUAAUAUUUUGAACCGCAUGGUUCAAAAGUAAAAGACGGUCUUGCUGUCACUUAUAGAUGGAUCCGCGCUGCAUUAGCUAGUUGGUAAGGUAACGGCUUACCAAGGCAACGAUGCAUAGCCGACCUGAGAGGGUGAUCGGCCACACUGGAACUGAGACACGGUCCAGACUCCUACGGGAGGCAGCAGUAGGGAAUCUUCCGCAAUGGGCGAAAGCCUGACGGAGCAACGCCGCGUGAGUGAUGAAGGUCUUCGGAUCGUAAAACUCUGUUAUUAGGGAAGAACAUAUGUGUAAGUAACUGUGCACAUCUUGACGGUACCUAAUCAGAAAGCCACGGCUAACUACGUG
RNAcentral lists this ribosomal RNA (497 nucleotides) under uncultured bacterium. RNAcentral describes it as "partial 16S ribosomal RNA". It matches the Rfam family "Bacterial small subunit ribosomal RNA", at positions 28 to 507 of the family's 1533-position model. The record is from RNAcentral.